GAUGAACGCUGGCGGCGUGCCUAAUACAUGCAAGUCGAGCGAACAGAUAAGGAGCUUGCUCCUUUGACGUUAGCGGCGGACGGGUGAGUAACACGUGGGUAACCUACCUAUAAGACUGGGAUAACUUCGGGAAACCGGAGCUAAUACCGGAUAAUAUUUCGAACCGCAUGGUUCGAUAGUGAAAGAUGGUUUUGCUAUCACUUAUAGAUGGACCCGCGCCGUAUUAGCUAGUUGGUAAGGUAACGGCUUACCAAGGCGACGAUACGUAGCCGACCUGAGAGGGUGAUCGGCCACACUGGAACUGAGACACGGUCCAGACUCCUACGGGAGGCAGCAGUAGGGAAUCUUCCGCAAUGGGCGAAAGCCUGACGGAGCAACGCCGCGUGAGUGAUGAGGGUCUUCGGAUCGUAAAACUCUGUUAUUAGGGAAGAACAUACGUGUAAGUAACUGUGCACGUCUUGACGGUACCUAAUCAGAAAGCCACGGCUAACUACGUG
This 497-nucleotide ribosomal RNA is filed under the name uncultured bacterium. RNAcentral's name for it is "partial 16S ribosomal RNA". It matches the Rfam family "Bacterial small subunit ribosomal RNA", at positions 28 to 507 of the family's 1533-position model. The record is from RNAcentral.